RNAcentral lists this ribosomal RNA (253 nucleotides) under uncultured bacterium. Its description in RNAcentral is "partial 16S ribosomal RNA". It matches the Rfam family "Bacterial small subunit ribosomal RNA", at positions 524 to 776 of the family's 1533-position model. The record is from RNAcentral.
UACGUAGGGACCAAGCGUUGUCCGGAAUCAUUGGGCGUAAAGAGCGUGUAGGCGGCCAGGUAGGUGGGUUGUGAAAACUGGAGGCUCAACCUUCAGACGUCGACCCAAACCCCCUGGCUAGAGUCCGGAAGAGGAGAGUGGAAUUCCUGGUGUAGCGGUGAAAUGCGCAGAUAUCAGGAAGAACACCCGUGGCGAAGGCGGCUCUCUGGGACGGUACUGGCGCUGAGACGCGAAAGCGUGGGGAGCGAACAGG